AUACAGCUUACGAGUCCUGAAUAGAACGAAACGUGCGUCCUGGAU
This 45-nucleotide non-coding RNA is filed under the name Schistosoma mattheei. Lineage: Eukaryota; Metazoa; Platyhelminthes; Trematoda; Strigeidida; Schistosomatidae. The record is from RNAcentral.